GAUGAAGAACGUAGCGAAAUGCGAUAAGUAAUGUGAAUUGCAGAAUUCAGUGAAUCAUCGAAUCUUUGAACGCACAUUGCGCCCCUUGGUAUUCCGAGGGGCAUGCCUGUUCGAGCGUCAUUAUAACCCCUCAAGCUCGGCUUGGUGUUGGGGCCUGCCGCACGGGCAGCCCUUAAAAUCAGUGGCGGUGCCAUCUGGCUCUAAGCGUAGUAAUUCUUCUCGCUAUAGAGUCCCGGUGGAUGCUUGCCAUUAACCCCCAAUUUCAAUGGUUGACCUCGGAUCAGGUAGGGAUACCCGCUGAACUUAAGCAUAUCAAUAACGGAGGA
This 326-nucleotide unclassified non-coding RNA is filed under the name soil metagenome. RNAcentral describes it as "partial contains 5.8S ribosomal RNA, internal transcribed spacer 2, and large subunit ribosomal RNA". The stretch from base 1 to 120 matches the Rfam family "5.8S ribosomal RNA", at positions 35 to 154 of the family's 154-position model. The record is from RNAcentral.